This 397-nucleotide long non-coding RNA is filed under the name Dasypus novemcinctus (nine-banded armadillo). Its description in RNAcentral is "lncRNA (ENSDNOG00000052874.1)". Lineage: Eukaryota; Metazoa; Chordata; Mammalia; Cingulata; Dasypodidae. The record is from RNAcentral.
GUAACCAACCACUGAACGGUCAUUUCCCUACAGAAUAAUUGAGGGAAAAAAACACAGAAAACAAAAGAAGCUCAUCAUGUGCACAUGGGGUUGACCACACCUUUUUCAGAAGCCAGCUUGAGUAAGAACUCUUGGAAAUAGACACCCACUUCAUGGUAUAAAUGAAGAAGUGGUAAUAAAGAAGUUAUAACUGUUGUCUUUAGACCAAAAAACUUUUAACAGUAUUUCCAGAGUAAUUUUUCUGACAACCCAAGUUGCAGUAGUUUGACUGAAUUGUUAUCCUGUGGCCUGAAUCUUUUAAUAAAAGUUUUUCCAUUCAAUUUGGAAGGUAAAUAUAUAAGAGAAUAUUUCAUUGAUGUUAUAUAACAUAGACAUAAUUUUUAUUCAGAUAAAUUUA